Molecule: ribosomal RNA, 368 nt
Filed under: uncultured organism
Description: bacterial SSU rRNA
Rfam family: Bacterial small subunit ribosomal RNA
Source: RNAcentral
CGGAGGAUCCGAGCGUUAUCCGGAUUUAUUGGGUUUAAAGGGUGCGUAGGCGGCCUAUUAAGUCAGGGGUGAAAGACGGUAGCUUAACUAUCGCAGUGCCUUUGAUACUGAUGGGCUUGAAUGUACUUGAGGUAGGCGGAAUGUGACAAGUAGCGGUGAAAUGCAUAGAUAUGUCACAGAACACCAAUUGCGAAGGCAGCUUACUAAAGUAUGAUUGACGCUGAGGCACGAAAGCGUGGGGAUCAAACAGGAUUAGAUACCCUGGUAGUCCACGCCCUAAACGAUGAACACUCGAUGUUGGCGAUAUACGGUCAGCGUCUAAGCGAAAGCGUUAAGUGUUCCACCUGGGGAGUACGCCCGCAAGGGUG